This 253-nucleotide ribosomal RNA is filed under the name uncultured bacterium. Its description in RNAcentral is "partial 16S ribosomal RNA". It matches the Rfam family "Bacterial small subunit ribosomal RNA", at positions 524 to 776 of the family's 1533-position model. The record is from RNAcentral.
UACGAAGGGGGCAAGCGUUGUUCGGAAUUACUGGGCGUAAAGCGCUCGCAGGUGGUUCGUUGCGUCGUGCGUGAAAGACCCCGGCUCAACUGGGGAGGGUCGUGCGAUACGGGCGAACUGGAGGCCAGUAGGGGGAUGCGGAAUUCCGGGUGUAGUGGUGGAAUGCGUAGAGAUCCGGAGGAACACCAGCGGCGAAGGCGGCAUCCUGGACUGGUCCUGACACUCAUGAGCGAAAGCGUGGGGAGCGAUCCGG